ACGCUUCUUUCCUCCCGAGUGCUUGCACUCAAUUGGAAAGAGGAGUGGCGGACGGGUGAGUAACACGUGGGUAACCUACCCAUCAGAGGGGGAUAACACUUGGAAACAGGUGCUAAUACCGCAUAACAGUUUAUGUCGCAUGGCAUAAGAGUGAAAGGCGCUUUCGGGUGUCGCUGAUGGAUGGACCCGCGGUGCAUUAGCUAGUUGGUGAGGUAACGGCUCACCAAGGCCACGAUGCAUAGCCGACCUGAGAGGGUGAUCGGCCACACUGGGACUGAGACACGGCCCAGACUCCUACGGGAGGCAGCAGUAGGGAAUCUUCGGCAAUGGACGAAAGUCUGACCGAGCAACGCCGCGUGAGUGAAGAAGGUUUUCGGAUCGUAAACUCUGUUGUUAGAGAAGAACAAGGACGUUAGUAACUGAACGUCCCCUGACGGUAUCUAACCAGAAAGCCACGGCUAACUACGUGCCAGCAGCCGCGGUAA
This 485-nucleotide ribosomal RNA is filed under the name uncultured Enterococcaceae bacterium. RNAcentral's name for it is "bacterial SSU rRNA". It matches the Rfam family "Bacterial small subunit ribosomal RNA", at positions 66 to 523 of the family's 1533-position model. The record is from RNAcentral. Lineage: Bacteria; Bacillati; Bacillota; Bacilli; Lactobacillales; Enterococcaceae.